This 491-nucleotide ribosomal RNA is filed under the name Zavarzinia compransoris. RNAcentral's name for it is "bacterial SSU rRNA". It matches the Rfam family "Bacterial small subunit ribosomal RNA", at positions 366 to 876 of the family's 1533-position model. The record is from RNAcentral. Lineage: Bacteria; Pseudomonadati; Pseudomonadota; Alphaproteobacteria; Rhodospirillales; Zavarziniaceae.
GGACAAUGGGCGCAAGCCUGAUCCAGCAAUGCCGCGUGAGUGAUGAAGGCCUUAGGGUUGUAAAGCUCUUUCACCCACGACGAUGAUGACGGUAGUGGGAGAAGAAGCCCCGGCUAACUUCGUGCCAGCAGCCGCGGUAAUACGAAGGGGGCUAGCGUUGUUCGGAAUGACUGGGCGUAAAGGGCGCGUAGGCGGUUGACCAAGUUGGGGGUGAAAGCCCGGGGCUUAACCUCGGAAUUGCCUCCAAAACUGGUCGGCUUGAGUGUGGAAGAGGGUUGUGGAAUUCCCAGUGUAGAGGUGAAAUUCGUAGAUAUUGGGAAGAACACCAGUGGCGAAGGCGACAACCUGGUCCAUUACUGACGCUGAGGCGCGACAGCGUGGGGAGCAAACAGGAUUAGAUACCCUGGUAGUCCACGCCGUAAACGAUGAGUGCUGGAUGUUGGACGGUUGCCGUUCAGUGUCGAAGUUAACGCGAUAAGCACUCCGCCUGG